RNAcentral lists this ribosomal RNA (450 nucleotides) under uncultured bacterium. RNAcentral describes it as "bacterial SSU rRNA". It matches the Rfam family "Bacterial small subunit ribosomal RNA", at positions 355 to 825 of the family's 1533-position model. The record is from RNAcentral.
UGGGGAAUUUUGGACAAUGGGGGCAACCCUGAUCCAGCGACGCCGCGUGAGUGAUGAAGGCCUUCGGGUCGUAAAGCUCUGUUGAACGGGAAGAAACAAAUGACGGUACCGUUUAAGAAAGGAUCGGCUAACUUCGUGCCAGCAGCCGCGGUAAUACGAAGGGGGCUAGCGUUGUUCGGAUUUACUGGGCGUAAAGCGCGUGUAGGCGGGUCGUUAAGUUGGGGGUGAAAUCCCGAGGCUCAACCUCGGAACUGCCUUCAAAACUGGCGACCUGGACUCAAGCAGAGGCAAGUGGAAUUGCGAGUGUAGAGGUGAAAUUCGUAGAUAUUCGCAGGAACACCAGUGGCGAAGGCGACUUGCUGGGCUUGUAGUGACGCUGAGACGCGAAAGCGUGGGGAGCAAACAGGAUUAGAUACCCCCGUAGUCCCUGAGCGGGCUGGCAAGGCGCAU